AUAAAAGGGACAAGGUUGUACCAACGACAGCAGUUGACUGUACAUACAGUUGUAAGGCAUCAUGAUGGCACUCUCUGUGACUAAGUUCAUGCUACUGGCUGUUACUGUCCUCGCUGUCCACAGAGCAGAGGGACGGCUGGUCUCCAAAUGCGAGCUGAAGAAUGAGCUGGAGGCAGCAUUCCAAUUAAACCAGUCCUUUGGAAACCAGUCCUUUGGAAACCAGUCCUUUGGAAACCAGACCCUUGGAAACCAGUCCACACUGGAUGUUGUGGCAAAGAUUGUCUGUAAGGUACAGCUGACUUCUGGUUUCAACACAAGCCUUGUGACUCAGCUGGCCCCUGCUACCGCUGGUACGAAGAAGCCGGGGUAUGAUAAUUCAAAUCACAAGAACCAGCCUCCCAAGAGACGAGCACGUGAUACCAGGAGACAACAGUCCGAGGGAAAGAAUAAAGGCGAAAAACAAUACGGAAGCUCUGAAAGCGAGGAAGACAAUCAUGGCAACCAUGGCAACGUGACGCCACCCACUCCUACGGUCAGCCUCUACGGCCUCUUCCAGUUGAGUGGUUCUGUGGCUUGUUCGGAUGGUGUCAACCCCUCAAGUAACAUCUGCAAUAUUCCCUGCUCUGCACUGACUGAUGGCAAUAUCUAUGACGAUGUUGCCUGCUACAAGAGAAUCACUGGCAGCAGCCUGAAGCAACCGGAAGGGCUUCCACAGCAGUGUGCCGGAGUUGUGUACUCCACCUACUUCUCAGAAUGUCUGUAAAACAAAGCCAAGGGAGGCAUCACUGCUUGCAAGGUGUUCCAUGAUGAUUCACAUUAACGCUUCCUUCCAAAAUUGCCUUUCGUAACCACUUCUUUGGGUUGGGUUUCCGAAGUUGAGAUUUUUAGCUCAAAAAUGAAUAAGAAAAAAUAAACUUAGCAAGAUUUAAAAUAUUUUUCUCUCC
RNAcentral lists this long non-coding RNA (944 nucleotides) under Scleropages formosus (Asian bonytongue). Its description in RNAcentral is "lncRNA (ENSSFOG00015026396.1)". Lineage: Eukaryota; Metazoa; Chordata; Actinopteri; Osteoglossiformes; Osteoglossidae. The record is from RNAcentral.